RNAcentral lists this ribosomal RNA (425 nucleotides) under uncultured bacterium. RNAcentral's name for it is "partial 16S ribosomal RNA". It matches the Rfam family "Bacterial small subunit ribosomal RNA", at positions 354 to 796 of the family's 1533-position model. The record is from RNAcentral.
GUUAGGAAUAUUGGACAAUGGGCGCAAGCCUGAUCCAGCCAUGCCGCGUGAGUGAUGAAGGCCUUCGGGUUGUAAAGCUCUUUAGUCCACGAAUAUAAUGACUGUAGUGGAAGAAUAAGCCCCGGCUAACUUCGUGCCAGCAGCCGCGGUAAUACGAAGGGGGCGAGCGUUAUUCGGAAUCACUGGGCGUAAAGCGUGCGUAGGCUGUUUUGUAAGUCAGAAGUGAAAGCCCAGGGCUUAACCCUGGAAUUGCUUUUGAAACUACAAGACUCGAAUUCGGGAGAGGAAAGCGGAAUUGUCAGUGUAGCAGUGAAAUGCGUAGAUAUUGACAGGAACACCAGUGGCGCAAGCGGCUAUCUGGACCGAUAUUGACGCUGAGGCACGAAAGCGUGGGGAGCAAACAGGAUUAGAUACCCGGGUAGUCC